GCGCCUAUGGUGUAAUCGGUAACACACUGGACUUUUAAUCCUGUAUCGGGAGUUCGAGCCUCCUUGGGCGCA
Molecule: transfer RNA, 72 nt
Filed under: Lachnospiraceae bacterium
Lineage: Bacteria; Bacillati; Bacillota; Clostridia; Lachnospirales; Lachnospiraceae
Description: tRNA-Lys
Rfam family: tRNA
About the family: Transfer RNA (tRNA) molecules are approximately 80 nucleotides in length. Their secondary structure includes four short double-helical elements and three loops (D, anti-codon, and T loops).
Source: RNAcentral